RNA transcript from Cimex lectularius (bed bug), 1372 nucleotides. RefSeq lists it as uncharacterized. The transcript has 5 exons. The record is from RefSeq and is a predicted model, not a curated record. Lineage: Eukaryota; Metazoa; Arthropoda; Insecta; Hemiptera; Cimicidae.
UUCUAUUUUGUAACAGUUUUUAGAUUCUUCUGUUCUUUGUUGUGUUAGUUCGGCAAAAUAUGGAUUUUAACAACCGAGACGCAAACCAGGUAGCAAAGUUCGAUUCAGGAUGGCAAGCUCUCGUGAAUUCGCCAGAGUUGAUAACGAAAGAAGAAUGCGUGGCUACAGACGUGUCGAUGAGUGACUUCAAUUUUGAAACGGUCAUCAAAUGGUUUAAGGUCUGCAUCAGACUUGGGGACAAGAUCCCUGACAAGGAAAGAGACUUGUACACCCUCAACCUCAUGGAGAACAUGAAGAAAUCAACAGAGGAGUUUUUCUCGUCGUCCCAACUGGAUUACAGCACUUUGGGCAAGAUCGAAAACACAUUUUCCGACAUGUUCGACGAGCUAGUUUACCCUUCUGACCUUUGGAGAAAGAUUUAAUAAUUCUUCAGUUCAAGUUUAAUUCGAGUGAGAAAUGCAGCGGAUCUGACGACGAGAGAGAUAUAUGGAAUCUCCAAAUAGUCGCACUCAUUUCGAUAAUUCUACUAUUGUUAAUAAUAUUUAUUUGCGUUUGCGUCUGGUGCAUGAAGCUGUGUAAAAUAAAGAAAGUGUGUGAGAAAGACUGCACCUACGACAGAGGCAGGUACUGCUGCAUCGACGAGAACAACUGCCCCGAAUGUUGUGAAUACAUGAAGAAAUCAGGACUUAAAUUUGAGAAAACGCGGUCAGAAUUAGGCCAAAAUGCUGGUAGUUUCACGACGCUGGGAAAGAAAAAGAAUAUAAGUCUCACUUCUAAGUCUUCAGGAUGAAUUCGAUUUCUAUAUUCUAGAGAAAUCCUCCAAGGAAAACCACUCCAACGCUGCUCCAAUCCGUAAAUAAAUAAAUGCAGUCCCAUUGUAUUUAUAUAUAAAAUCUGUCCCGUGUAAAUAAUGACUCCAUGCAGUGACAUUACCAACAUUUUGAAAUCGCGUGGGUUUCGAGUACCCCGGAGCCAGGGUCACGACAACGCGGGUGUAGGUGUUGCGAAAAACGCCUCCGUACUCUCAUACAGGGGCAAAAAGUUUAGUUCACCGAGUCGGUGGACGGGAUCGGCCAGAUCCCGGCAUCUAAUUGCCCACGUGGCGCCAGCACGUGUUAAUUACAAGGUGGCACUGUGGUCUGUUAUGCUAAUGCAGUCGUGACCCGUCUAGGCAUUUGUUGCGGGUCCGAGUCAAUCUGGAGAUAUACAUCUUCGUAUUCAUUUCUACCAUCGUGCAUACAUUGGCCUUCAAAGCGGCCAAAGCUGUACAGGUGCAUCAAGUCGCAUUCGUUCAAGCUAAUUGCGUCAACAGAAAACCUCGGCACAGUUAGUAGUUGGCAACGCCAAGAGAUAACAUUAAAAACAAUGUAGU